Long non-coding RNA from Mycetomoellerius zeteki, 82 nucleotides. RefSeq lists it as uncharacterized. Lineage: Eukaryota; Metazoa; Arthropoda; Insecta; Hymenoptera; Formicidae. The record is from RefSeq and is a predicted model, not a curated record. The transcript is spliced from 3 exons.
GGUUGAAAUUCUUAUUCUCUGUUCUCUGUUCCCUGUUCCUUUUAUUGUGCGGAGCCCCUAAGUCUUUUAAAAUGCAGUAAUG